This 28-nucleotide non-coding RNA is filed under the name Homo sapiens (human). The record is from RNAcentral. Lineage: Eukaryota; Metazoa; Chordata; Mammalia; Primates; Hominidae.
UGCGCCAGGUAUGAGAGAAGCCACACCA